RNAcentral lists this unclassified non-coding RNA (494 nucleotides) under uncultured Paraglomus. RNAcentral's name for it is "SSU rRNA". It matches the Rfam family "Eukaryotic small subunit ribosomal RNA", at positions 591 to 1092 of the family's 1831-position model. The record is from RNAcentral. Lineage: Eukaryota; Fungi; Glomeromycota; Glomeromycetes; Paraglomerales; Paraglomeraceae.
CCAAUAGCGUAUAUUAAAGUUGUUGUGGUUAAAAAGCUCGUAGUUGAACCUUGGGCCUGGCUGGCCGGUCCGCCUCACCGCGUGUACUGGUCCGGCCGGGCCUUUCCCUCUGUGGAACCUCAUGCCCUUCACUGUGUGACGGGGAAGCAGGACUUUUACUGGGAAAAAAUUAGAGUGCUCCAAGCAGGCCUAUGCUCGAAUACAUUAGCAUGGAAUAAUAAAAUAGGACGUGCGGUUCUAUUUUGUUGGUUUCUAGGACCGCCGUAAUGAUUAAUAGGGACAGUCGGGGGCAUCAGUAUUCAAUUGUCAGAGGUGAAAUUCUUGGAUUUAUUGAAGACUAACUACUGCGAAAGCAUUUGCCAAGGAUGUUUUCAUUAAUCAGGAACGAAAGUUAGGGGAUCGAAGACGAUCAGAUACCGUCGUAGUUCUAACCAUAAACGAUGCCAACCAGUAAUUCGCCUGAGUUCCUUAAAUGACUCGGCGAGGGACUUCCG